AGAGUUUGAUCCUGGCUCAGAUUGAACGCUGGCGGCAGGCCUAACACAUGCAAGUCGAGCGGUAGAGAGAAGCUUGCUUCUCUUGAGAGCGGCGGACGGGUGAGUAAUGCCUAGGAAUCUGCCUGGUAGUGGGGGAUAACGUCCGGAAACGGACGCUAAUACCGCAUACGUCCUACGGGAGAAAGCAGGGGACCUUCGGGCCUUGCGCUAUCAGAUGAGCCUAGGUCGGAUUAGCUAGUUGGUGGGGUAAUGGCUCACCAAGGCGACGAUCCGUAACUGGUCUGAGAGGAUGAUCAGUCACACUGGAACUGAGACACGGUCCAGACUCCUACGGGAGGCAGCAGUGGGGAAUAUUGGACAAUGGGCGAAAGCCUGAUCCAGCCAUGCCGCGUGUGUGAAGAAGGUCUUCGGAUUGUAAAGCACUUUAAGUUGGGAGGAAGGGCAGUAAAUUAAUACUUUGCUGUUUUGACGUUACCGACAGAAUAAGCACCGGCUAACUCUGUGCCAGCAGCCGCGGUAAUACAGAGGGUGCAAGCGUUAAUCGGAAUUACUGGGCGUAAAGCGCGCGUAUGUGGUUUGUUAGGUUGGAUGUGAAAUCCCCGGGCUCAACCUGGGAACUGCAUUCAAAACUGACUGACUAGAGUAUGGUAGAGGGUGGUGGAAUUUCCUGUGUAGCGGUGAAAUGCGUACAUAUAGGAAGUGACACCAGUGGCGAUCGCGACAACCUGGAGCUAUACUGACACUGACGUGCUGAUGCGUGAGGAGCAGACAGGAUAGAUACCCUGGUAGUCGAGGGCGAUUACGGUUAAACUGCAGGACUAGUACCUUUUGUGAGGGGUUAGUCUGAGCUUGCUACCAGGGGG
This 863-nucleotide ribosomal RNA is filed under the name uncultured bacterium. Its description in RNAcentral is "bacterial SSU rRNA". It matches the Rfam family "Bacterial small subunit ribosomal RNA", at positions 8 to 868 of the family's 1533-position model. The record is from RNAcentral.